UUAAAUUGAAGAGUUUGAUCAUGGCUCAGAUUGAACGCUGGCGGCAGGCCUAACACAUGCAAGUCGAACGGUAACAGGAAGAAGCUUGCUUCUUUGCUGACGAGUGGCGGACGGGUGAGUAAUGUCUGGGAAACUGCCUGAUGGAGGGGGAUAACUACUGGAAACGGUAGCUAAUACCGCAUAACGUCGCAAGACCAAAGAGGGGGACCUUCGGGCCUCUUGCCAUCGGA
RNAcentral lists this ribosomal RNA (230 nucleotides) under Escherichia coli. RNAcentral's name for it is "partial 16S ribosomal RNA". It matches the Rfam family "Bacterial small subunit ribosomal RNA", at positions 1 to 225 of the family's 1533-position model. RNAcentral also lists the same sequence under 1 other name. Lineage: Bacteria; Pseudomonadati; Pseudomonadota; Gammaproteobacteria; Enterobacterales; Enterobacteriaceae. The record is from RNAcentral.